RNAcentral lists this ribosomal RNA (465 nucleotides) under Vreelandella stevensii. Its description in RNAcentral is "partial 16S ribosomal RNA". It matches the Rfam family "Bacterial small subunit ribosomal RNA", at positions 338 to 795 of the family's 1533-position model. Lineage: Bacteria; Pseudomonadati; Pseudomonadota; Gammaproteobacteria; Oceanospirillales; Halomonadaceae. The record is from RNAcentral.
CCUACGGGGGGCUGCAGUGGGGAAUAUUGGACAAUGGGGGGAACCCUGAUCCAGCCAUGCCGCGUGCGUGAAGAAGGCCCUCGGGUUGUAAAGCACUUUCAGUGAGGAAGAACGCCUGGUGGUUAAUACCCAUCAGGAAAGACAUCACUCACAGAAGAAGCACCGGCUAACUCCGUGCCAGCAGCCGCGGUAAUACGGAGGGUGCGAGCGUUAAUCGGAAUUACUGGGCGUAAAGCGCGCGUAGGUGGCUUGAUAAGCCGGUUGUGAAAGCCCCGGGCUCAACCUGGGAACGGCAUCCGGAACUGUCAAGCUAGAGUGCAGGAGAGGAAGGUAGAAUUCCCGGUGUAGCGGUGAAAUGCGUAGAGAUCGGGAGGAAUACCAGUGGCGAAGGCGGCCUUCUGGACUGACACUGACACUGAGGUGCGAAAGCGUGGGUAGCAAACAGGAUUAGAUACCCCAGUAGUC